GACGAACGCUGGCGGCGUGCUUAACACAUGCCAGUCGAACGGUGAAGCUCCAGCUUGCUGGAGUGGAUCAGUGGCGAACGGGUGAGUAACACGUGAGCAACCUGCCCCUGACUCUGGAAUAAGCGCUGGAAACGGCGUCUAAUACUGGAUACGAGAAGGGUCCGCAUGGGCACUUUCUGGAAAGUUUUUCGGUUGGGGAUGGGCUCGCGGCCUAUAAGCUUGUUGGUGAGGUAAUGGCUCACCAAGGCGACGACGGGUAGCCGGCCUGAGAGGGCGACCGGCCACACUGUGACUGAGACACGGCCCAGACUCCAACGGGAGGCAGCAGUGGGGAAUAUUGCACAAUGGGCGAAAGCCUGAUGCAGCGACGCCGCGGUAGGGAUGACGGCCUUCGGGUUGUAAACCUCUUUCAGCAGGGAAGAAGCGAAAGUGACGGUACCUGCAGAAGAAGCACCGGCUAACUACGUG
This 468-nucleotide ribosomal RNA is filed under the name uncultured bacterium. Its description in RNAcentral is "partial 16S ribosomal RNA". It matches the Rfam family "Bacterial small subunit ribosomal RNA", at positions 28 to 507 of the family's 1533-position model. The record is from RNAcentral.